RNAcentral lists this ribosomal RNA (465 nucleotides) under uncultured bacterium. Its description in RNAcentral is "partial 16S ribosomal RNA". It matches the Rfam family "Bacterial small subunit ribosomal RNA", at positions 28 to 507 of the family's 1533-position model. The record is from RNAcentral.
GACGAACGCUGGCGGCGUGCUUAACACAUGCAAGUCGAACGGAAAGGCCCUGCUUGCAGGGUACUCGAGUGGCGAACGGGUGAGUAACACGUGGGUGAUCUGCCAUGCACUUCGGGAUAAGCCUGGGAAACUGGGUCUAAUACCGGAUAGGAGCCAUUUUUAGUGUGAUGGUUGGAAAGUUUUUUCGGUGUAGGAUGAGCUCGCGGCCUAUCAGCUUGUUGGUGGGGUAAUGGCCUACCAAGGCGGCGACGGGUAGCCGGCCUGAGAGGGUGGACGGCCACAUUGGGACUGAGAUACGGCCCAGACUCCUACGGGAGGCAGCAGUGGGGAAUAUUGCACAAUGGGCGCAAGCCUGAUGCAGCGACGCCGCGUGGGGGAUGACGGCCUUCGGGUUGUAAACUCCGUUCGCUAGGGACGAAGCUUUUUGUGACGGUACCUAGAUAAGAAGCACCGGCUAACUACGUG